UUAGAUGAGGUCAUGAGGGUGAGGCCCUCACUGUGGGAUGUGUCCCUAUAAGAAGAGGAAGAGACACCAGAGCCCCCUCCCGCUGUCCCCUUCUCUCUCUUCCUUUCCCAUGUGAGGACACAGUGAGAAGGAGGCCAUCUGCAAGCCAGGAAGUGGGUUCUCUUCAAGAACUGAGUCUGCCAGCCUCUUGACCUUGGAUUUUCCAGCAUCCAAAAUUGUAAGAGAUUAAUGUUUAAGCCAUCUAGUCUGUCAUAUUUGUCACAGCGGCUCUAUCUGACUAAGACAGACAUUGCUAAACUGGCUUACCAAGAUUAUUGCUAAAGGCAAGCCAAAGACUUAGACAUCAAAGGUGAGGGAUGAGGAACAUGAUCAGAUAUCAAGGGUGAUCAGAUAUUUCAGGUGGGGAAUUUUCUGCUAAGGUGACUUAGGACUCUUUGCCAAAGGCAGGCCAAAGACAGGGCUAAAGAGGAGGCCUGGUUGAAAAGAGGGCUUGUUGGAGACUGACUAAAUUUUAGUCAAGGAGGGAAUCUCUUUCAGGCCUAGUUGGCAUAGUUUUGCUCAUUAUGUUUGGCAUCUGCCACACCCCUGUGUGAUCCUCAUUUGCAUAGGCAGGCACAUCUGGUGGGAACCCUAAGUUGAUGUAAGUGGUGGGGGGAAGGUGCCGUUAGAAUCACCUGGGGAGCAGCUUUAACACUUAUCUAUGCCUGGGUCCUAUACCUAUUAAAUCUGAAUUGAUGAGGGGAUGGGGCAUCUAAAUAUUUCACAUGCUUUCCUGGUGACUCUCAUUAUCAGCCAGGUUGGAGACACACAGGUUUACACUACGAAUUGACCAAGAGGGUGCUAGAAAGGGAAUGGAAUUGAUUGUUGGGAAGGGGGUGGGGAGAAGUUGGGGAUGCUGGAGGGGAUCCGAUGUCAACUUUGCUCCCUCUCCCCAUAGACGGGGGUUCUCUUUGCAUUUGGAGACUACCAGGACUUGUGUAUUUGGCAAAAUAGCAAAGUUCUUGGCGGAGACACCCUGCAAUCAAAAACAAUUAACAGGAAAAAAAAGUUUAAUAACACGUGUACCUCCUGUAUACAUGAGAGAGACCCAAGAAAACCGAGUAACUCCUUGAAAGGGCCCAAGGCAUCACCUUAAAUACCAUCUCCAGGUGCCAGUGUCUUUCCAUUCUCUAACCCAGGGAUGGCAAACUUAUGCUUGGUCCCGGUGAAGAGAGGCUCUGCUUAUUUAUUUCCUAAGCUGGGAAGCUGCCAUUUGGAGGUUACUAGCUAUUUUUAGUGAACACAUUGAUUUACUUUAGGACUUUAUUACUUUCUUCUGGGCAAGUCACCAGAAUGGCCCUUUAGUUACAAAACUAUGGAUGACAACAUGCCCAUUGUCAUAGGAUACUGACACUUGUUAGGAGAGAAUGGGGGGGGCAGCAGGACUUCUAUCUGAGAUCCUGAAUUUCUCUCUGAGAUCAUGACUUUUUCAAUUUGAGGCCCAAAGUUAUUGCAACAUAACUGGGAUGGACUCAGGUGGCCCUGGCCCAUUCCAGGAGUUGGGAUAGGACAGCAAAACUCCAGAGAUAAAAAGCACUAUCAAGGUAGAAGCAGACAGGACCAGGUGGCUGGCCUCUGCUUUGGGGGGUAUUGUGGUACAAGGGGAGUUGGGAGACAUUUCUGCUGAGUCUUUGAAGCCACUGAUAUAAAAUCUACCUCAACAUAGCACCUCCUGGGGGCAAGUUUAAGCCACAAACCAAAGAUGCAUGUGUAUAAAAAAGUUGGAAGUGUCAUGGCCUACUUUAUCUAGAAACAUUUGUCUGGGGCAACCAUGUCCCAUUGUUCUUAUGGAAUAUGACUGGCUCAGCAGUCAAGGUUUUAUACAUCCCUCAGUAUCCAUGGGGGAUUGGUUCCAGGACCCCCAUGGAUACAAAAAUUUCAUAUGCUCAAGUCCCUUAUAUACAAUGACACAGUAUUUGCAUAUAACCUAUGCACAUCCUCCCGAUACUUUAAAUUAUCUGUAGAUUACUUAUAAUAUCUAAUACAAUUUAUAUGCUAUGUAAAUGGUUGUAAAUAUAAUGUAAAUGCUAUGUAAACAGUGGCCAGCAUGUGGCAACUUCAAGUUUUGAUUUUUGGAACUUUCUGUAAUUUUUAGUCAAAUAUUUUCAAUAUGUGGCUGGUUGGAUCUGCAGAUGUGGAAGUCGCUGAUACAGAGGGCCAAACAUAGUGUCUCAGGGAGUGUAUUUGAUACCCUGUGUUCUAAAGGACUACAAAUAAAGGAUGACUUUACUGUCUAAAAAACUCAAGUCAUAAUAAUUAAACAUUAAAAAAAAUGUUAAAAUUUGUAUUCUGAGUUGGGGAAGUGGCAUGUACUUAUGCAUAAUAUAUAUAUAUAUAUA
This is a non-coding RNA of Sus scrofa (pig), 2378 nucleotides long. Lineage: Eukaryota; Metazoa; Chordata; Mammalia; Artiodactyla; Suidae. The record is from RefSeq and is a predicted model, not a curated record.